This 395-nucleotide ribosomal RNA is filed under the name uncultured bacterium. RNAcentral's name for it is "bacterial SSU rRNA". It matches the Rfam family "Bacterial small subunit ribosomal RNA", at positions 505 to 898 of the family's 1533-position model. The record is from RNAcentral.
GUGUCAGCCGCCGCGGUAAUACAGAGGGGGCGAGCGUUAUUCGGAAUUAUUGGGCGUAAAGGGCGCGUAGGCGGCCUGGUGUGUCUACGGUGAAAUCCCUCGGCUUAACCGAGGAAUGGCCGUGGAAACUGCCGGGCUCGAGGCCGGGAGAGGGUGGUGGAAUUCCCAGUGUAGCGGUGAAAUGCGUAGAUAUUGGGAGGAACACCGGUGGCGAAGGCGGCCACCUGGACCGGUUCUGACGCUGAGGCGCGAAAGCGUGGGGAGCAAACAGGAUUAGAUACCCUGGUAGUCCACGCUGUAAACGAUGGGUGCUCGGUGUCGCGGGUAUCGACCCCUGCGGUGCCUUAGCUAACGCGUUAAGCACCCCGCCUGGGGAGUACGGUCGCAAGGCUGAA